AUAAACGGGUCUGACUCAAUCCGGGGGCCCAGGAUCAUCUGGAUGAAGGGCUCUGAUGUCCCCCAUCAACUUCUUCCGGGUGAGAAAAACUCGAUCCCGUCGAGUACAGGUCUGGCUGGCUGUCGUACUGCUGCAGAAGAUCGGGGUCAAGGCGCUGUAACUGUGCUCUGGAAAUCCACGUCACAUCAGACUUUGGUCGACCUUUCCACCGAACAAGGUAACAUUGGUAACCACCGUUCCUG
This 242-nucleotide long non-coding RNA is filed under the name Phoenix dactylifera (date palm). RNAcentral describes it as "long non-coding RNA (PDAC_LNC018409)". Lineage: Eukaryota; Viridiplantae; Streptophyta; Magnoliopsida; Arecales; Arecaceae. The record is from RNAcentral.